This 208-nucleotide microRNA precursor is filed under the name Oryza nivara. Its description in RNAcentral is "MIR812 microRNA precursor family". It matches the Rfam family "MIR812 microRNA precursor family". The record is from Rfam by way of RNAcentral. Lineage: Eukaryota; Viridiplantae; Streptophyta; Magnoliopsida; Poales; Poaceae.
AAUAAGUGCAGUCAUAGAUAUCCGUGUUCAACGUUUGACCGUCCGUCUUAUUUAAAAAAUUUAUGAAAAAUUUAAAAAUAUUUAGUCACAUAUAAAGUACUAUUCAUGUUUUAUCAUCUAAUAGUAAUAAAAAUACUAAUCAUAAAAUAUUUUCAAAUAAAACGAACGGUCAAACGUUAAACGUGAAUAGUGUAAAACUACACUUAUU